GGAUUAGAUACCCUGGUAGUCCACGCCCUAAACGAUGUAUGCUUGGUGUUGGUCUGGUUACAGAUCAGUGCCGGAGGAAACCCAUUAAGCAUACCACCUGGGGAGUACGAUCGCAAGGUUGAAACUCAAAGGAAUUGACGGGGGCCCGCACAAGCGGUGGAUUAUGUGGUUUAAUUCGAUGCAACGCGAAGAACCUUACCUGGGCUUGAACUGUAGGAAGUAGAACCCCGAAAGGGGAACCACCCGUUAAGUCGGGAGCCUAUAGAGGUGCUGCAUGGCUGUCGUCAGCUCGUGCCG
RNAcentral lists this ribosomal RNA (297 nucleotides) under uncultured bacterium. Its description in RNAcentral is "partial 16S ribosomal RNA". It matches the Rfam family "Bacterial small subunit ribosomal RNA", at positions 775 to 1067 of the family's 1533-position model. The record is from RNAcentral.